UUAACGACAAGGGUUACGUAGAAUACAAGAUUGCCAUGGAGUACGCAUUUGGAGGAAGCUUGAGCGAUUUCAUGGACCGAUUCAAAGACAGAAAAUUGUCUGAUUCGAUGAUCAGAGAGUUUACUCGUAUGCUUCUCGAGGGUUUAGCCACGAUUCACAGACACGGCUAUGUUCACUGCGAUCUCAAACCCGAAAACAUCCUUGUUUUCCCUAGUUCUGUCUACAAGAACGGCGCGUGGAUCAGAUCCUACGAAUUGAAGAUUUCUGAUUUCGGGAUGUCGAAAAGAGAUGGAGACACUCAGUGGUGGCAACCUCGCAAACCAUAUGUGGGAACACCGAUCUAUAUGUCGCCUGAGUCGAUCUCUCACGGGGAGAUAGGGAAAGGACUUGAUUUAUGGUCGUUGGGAUGUGUGGUGUUGGAGAUGUACACUAGAAAGAAGCCAUGGUGGCAUACUAACUAUGAAUUAGAAGAGCUCAUGAAGUGUUAUGAGCCGUUGUUUCCGCGUAAUCUUCCUUGCGAUGCAAAACUCUUUCUCAUGACCUGCUUUGCGUCCGAACCAGAUGAGAGGAAAGAUGCGUUGACAUUGUUGAGGCAAAGCUUCUUGCAUGGAGAUGUCAAUAAGUUCACAAACCGUCAGAUGAAUGUGAAGAUUGACAGUGCGGAUGAUUUUACCCUGCAACUGGAGAAAGUUAGCCAGAUGCUUUCGGAAAUUAGGACUAUGUGUUAAUUUGAAGUUGAUGAGCUCUGCAGAGAGCCCUGGUCCACAGUAAUAUUGAUUAAUUCACAUUUUCUAAUUAGCAGAAUUAUGUAAUAGUUUUUGGUAUAUCAUUGACUCUUAUAAUAGUUGGUUUGAAUGUAUAUGAACAAAUUUAUCUGUGCACCUUUUAUAACUUCAAGCUUUUUUUUU
This 908-nucleotide small RNA is filed under the name Arabidopsis thaliana (thale cress). RNAcentral describes it as "ATSL124940". The record is from RNAcentral. Lineage: Eukaryota; Viridiplantae; Streptophyta; Magnoliopsida; Brassicales; Brassicaceae.